UACGGAGGGUGCAAGCGUUACUCGGGAUCACGGGGCGUAAAGGGCGCGUAGGCGGUCUAGCAAGUCUGGUGUGAAAGCCCAGGGCUCAACCCUGGAAGGGCACUGGAAACUGUUAGGCUUGAGUUCCGGAGAGGAGGGGGGAAUUCCCGGUGUAGCGGUGAAAUGCGUAGAUAUCGGGAGGAAUACCGGUGGCGAAGGCGCCCCUCUGGACGGAAACUGACGCUGAGGCGCGAAAGCGUGGGGAGCAAACAGG
Molecule: ribosomal RNA, 253 nt
Filed under: uncultured bacterium
Lineage: Bacteria
Description: partial 16S ribosomal RNA
Rfam family: Bacterial small subunit ribosomal RNA
Source: RNAcentral